RNAcentral lists this transfer RNA (88 nucleotides) under Candidatus Bathyarchaeota archaeon. RNAcentral describes it as "tRNA-Leu". It matches the Rfam family "tRNA". From Rfam's summary of the family: Transfer RNA (tRNA) molecules are approximately 80 nucleotides in length. Their secondary structure includes four short double-helical elements and three loops (D, anti-codon, and T loops). The record is from RNAcentral. Lineage: Archaea; Thermoproteati; Candidatus Bathyarchaeota. RNAcentral also lists the same sequence under 1 other name.
GCGGGGAUGGCAGAGCCAGGCCAAAUGCGAUGGACUCAAGAUCCAUUGGUGUAGACCUUCGUGGGUUCGAGUCCCACUCCCCGCACCA